Molecule: ribosomal RNA, 541 nt
Filed under: uncultured archaeon
Lineage: Archaea
Description: bacterial SSU rRNA
Rfam family: Archaeal small subunit ribosomal RNA
Source: RNAcentral
CAGCAGCCGCGGUAAUACCGGCUGCUCGAGUGAUAACCACUAUUACUGGGUUUAAAGCGUCCGUAGCUUGAUUGUUAGGUCUCUUGGGAAAUCUUCACGCUCAACGUGAAGGCGUCUAAGAGAUACCGGCAAUCUUGGAACUGGGAGAGGUAAACCGUACUUCGGGGGUAGGAGUGAAAUCUUGUAAUCCUCGAGGGACGACCUAUGGCGAAGGCAGUUUACCAGAACAGCUUCGACAGUGAGGGACGAAAGCUGGGGGAGCAAACGGGAUUAGAUACCCCGGUAGUCCCAGCCGUAAACAAUGUGCGUUAGGUCUGUCGGUAACCACGUGUUACUGAUGAGCCGAAGAGAAAUCGUGAAACGCACCACCUGGGAAGUACGGUCGCAAGGCUGAAACUUAAAGGAAUUGGCGGGGGAGCACCACAACAGGUGGAGCCUGCGGUUUAAUUGGAUUCAACGCCGGACAUCUCACCGGAUAAGACAGCUGAAUGAUUGUCAAUCUGAAGGUUUUACAUGACUAGCUGAGAGGAGGUGCAUGGCC